RNAcentral lists this ribosomal RNA (816 nucleotides) under Triticum aestivum (bread wheat). RNAcentral describes it as "partial small subunit ribosomal RNA". Lineage: Eukaryota; Viridiplantae; Streptophyta; Magnoliopsida; Poales; Poaceae. The record is from RNAcentral.
AUGCACCAAAACCACCUCGACACGGACACCCAGUCUCUGCUCAUCGUCGUCGACUCCGUCCUCGCCGACGCGCAGGCCACGGAGUGGGCGGAUGCCCGUCCCGCUCUGGUCGUGCCGCCCCAAGCGGCCGCGGCCUCGUCGCCCCCCACGCUCGUUGCGGCACCGGAUCUCGCAGAGGCGACGCCGCAGCCGCAAGAGGAGGGGUCCACGUCGACGAUGCUUCUUCCGCUCCCUGCCUCGGUGGCGGCAGCGAGCCCGCCUCCGCCUCUCGCCGGGUCCGACGCCGAGCAGGGGCUGGAGCAGCUCUCCAGGGUUCUCGCCUCCCUGGGGUACAACGAGUUGGCGUCGGAGGCGCCGCUCCUCGCCCUCUCGCUGCCGCUCGCGAGGUGGCCAGGGGCGAUCACCGUCUUCGCGGCCCCCAACUCCUUCCUCCAGGCCUCCUGCCCCAUGUGCUCGCGCCGAGACCUCCUCGAGCAGCACAUCGCCAUGGGCUACUACCCCUACUCCGAGCUCACCGCCGCCGCCACCAUGAAGAUCCCGUCCGCCUCCGUCGGCUUCUGCAUCCAGGUCCUCACCGAGCGGGGCCCCUUCGGCAUCCACUACGCCAAGAUCUACGCCGAUGGCAUCGAGGUGUCCCACCCCGAGCUCUACAACGACGGCCGCUACGUUGUCCACGGCAUCCACGGCUUCCUGCGCCCGCUCACCCACUCCUGCUUCGGCGGCCCGCACCACCACCUCCUCACCGGCACCGCCCGCUCCGCCGCUGCCUCCGCGGCGACCGCCUGUCAGGCCUGCCCAAAGCGGAAGCUCAUCUGA